Molecule: long non-coding RNA, 961 nt
Filed under: Daphnia pulex (common water flea)
Lineage: Eukaryota; Metazoa; Arthropoda; Branchiopoda; Diplostraca; Daphniidae
Description: uncharacterized LOC124190710, transcript variant X3
Source: RNAcentral
CGACAUUUUUCGACUUCGAGACGCUCUACGAGAAUAUUUACUUUAGUGAUUGCUGGAUAUUUUCUUUCCUAACAUUUUCUGCUUUUCUUCUACAAGGUUAUUUAGAAAUGAAAUUUUGUGUUUGGUGAAUUUACAGGUAACGUGUACUGGAAUUUAUACUUGGCAAUUCCGUUUGAUCAUGUGGCCUGCCGUUAAAUUUCCCAAAAUGUCGUCUCUUGCUCUUGCUGUAUCUUGCACGUUUCGUCACUAGAUGAGAUGUUUCCACGCCAUUCGACCAAGCUGAACCGAUAGUGAACCAUUUAAAACGAGUGGCUUUGUUGCAGCGAGCUGAUGAAAGGGAGUUCAAGUCAAGUUGAGCUGCAGCUUCUGGAAGCAGUCUACAUCGCUGAUGUCAUCCUGAAGUGGAGAAGUGUUACCUGAAGUGUUAACUACAAAAAAUACAUCUUGAAAUGGGUAACUCUUUCGCGCCUGAUGACAUUAAGUCAUCAACUGUUGUAAACUGACGAGAGAAUGCUGCAAUUCAAGACUGAUGUAUUGUGUUGGCCAAAAAAAAUUGGCCGUUCCUUGGUGCUGAUUUUGACCGAGGUUGCAUCAUAUUUUGUUAAAUUAUUGUUAUCGUUACUAUUGCAGUUUACCGUUUAAAAGUUCAGAAGCAACAACACAAAAUGGGAUGUUGAUGUCAAACAAAUAAUAAACAUUGUUUUGGGGUUGGGAAAGUAAACUGGUGGAUGUUGGAGGGGGAUAUUUCAAGUUUGGAUAAAAAUUCAGUUAAUUUAUAACCCUACUAAUGUAUCCCUACCAAUUAAUCUCCAAACCCCAAAAAUAUAUACCUUCCAAUCCUUCAAACCCUGUAAAUAUACCCCUACCAACCCUUAAAUCUAUUCCCUUAACACUAUAAACCAAUGUUAAUCUUAACCAUGUAAUGUCUGUAAUUAAUUAAAAAAUACACUGGAUAAACCAA